This is a long non-coding RNA of Anthonomus grandis grandis, 1120 nucleotides long. RefSeq lists it as uncharacterized. The transcript is spliced from 3 exons. The record is from RefSeq and is a predicted model, not a curated record. Lineage: Eukaryota; Metazoa; Arthropoda; Insecta; Coleoptera; Curculionidae.
UGUCACGUGAUUGGUAUUUGCUUCAGGUUAUAGCCAAGUUCAUAUCGAUUUUUCUAGAGCAAUAUACAGUGCCGGUUUGACCAGGGGUCUUUUGGGUGCUAUAGCACCGGGCGGUAAAUCUUAGAAGGGCGGCGUCGCCCUUAAGUUUACCACAAAAUUAGCUACUCCCGCCUUUUAUUAUUAAAUAAUAAAAUUUUAAAACCACAAUCGAAAAAAGCGACAACUUAUUUCAGAGAUUACUAUACUUCGCAGAACCCAGACCUAUAAAAAAUGUAAAAAAUAAAAGGUAGGUAUUUUAUUAAUUCAAUUGCCUUAUUUGCUAACAGACAUCUAUUAUUAAAAUCGUAAAGUGGAAUAUGAAUGCGAAAUUACGAGUUAAAGCCCCGCCACCAACGGUAAUUAAAAUCGCCAAUGCCCAGCCCUAGUUUCCUACCUGUACAGCUCCGCAUUACUGCCUAUGACAAGCGAUAAAAUUUAGCCGCCAAUUAUUUCAAAACAACAAUUAUUUGGCGGUGCAGUAUAAAAAGAAUUGGCGGUAUAAAUUGGUGAUGUUAGAAAGUUUAGAAUUAUAGGUUUACUUUAAAAUUACAGUAAGUUUGGCGUUUAGUUUAAUCGGUGAUAUUAUUCGGAUAAGGAUUUUUAAAAGAUUAAACGGCAAUUAAAUACGGAAAUGGACGGACGAAAGUUAUCUGGCUCGUAUUGGCGUAAAAAAAAACUGGAAAAACAGCAAAAGGAAAAGAAAGCUUUAGAAAACACUCUUAAACUCACAAGUUUUUUUACACGGGGUAUCGCAGACGUAGACGAGAGCAGAAGUAUAUGCGAACCUCAACCUGGACCAAGUACGAGCACUAGCCUUGCAAAUGAGAUGAAUACCCAAGAGACCGGUCUUGAGAUGGAGCCACAGGAAAGUCUUUUGCAAAAUAAUACAGUUGGUGAUAGUAUUAUAGAUGCAAAAACAGACGAUUGGACCGAAUUUAAGGAUCCGGCACUUUGGAAGGAUGGUCAAAAUUUUGUGCAAAUUCUUUUGGAUAAUUGGACCGAAUAAAUUCUUGAUAAAAUUGACUUUUCAAUGUCUAAAAGAAAACAUGGGGAUCAAAAUAGGUAUGCUACCAAGCAAAUU